GGCAGACGAGGUAGUAACAGGUAGAAACCUCCCCCCAAGUCAGGAAUAAUCCGCCGAAAGGCGGACUAAUACUCGAUAGUCUCUACGGAGUAAAGUCGCAAGACGCUUGGGAAAGGGCCUGCCCAGUAUCAGCUAGUUGGUAGUGUAAUGGACUACCAAGGCUAUGACGCUUAGGGGAGCUGAGAGGCUGACCCCCACCGAUGGGACUGAGACACGGCCCAUACACCUACGGGUGGCUGCAGUCAAGAAUCUUCCACAAUGGACGAAAGUCUGAUGGAGCGACACCGCGUGAUGGAUGAAGUCCCUCUGGGACGUAAACAUCUUUUAUCGAGGAGAAAGUUUUGAUAGUACUCGAAGAAUAAGGGGUUGCUAAACUCGUGCCAGCAGCAGCGGUAAUACGAGUGCCCCAAGCGUUAUCCGGAAUCAUUGGGCGUAAAGGGUGUGUAGGUGGCGAUGUUAGUCUUCUGUGAAAUUCUUCGGCUCAACCGGGGGUCCGCAGGGGAAACGGCAUUGCUCGAGGAUGCGAGGGGUCAGUGGAACUCACGGAGUAGGGUG
RNAcentral lists this ribosomal RNA (555 nucleotides) under uncultured bacterium. RNAcentral's name for it is "bacterial SSU rRNA". It matches the Rfam family "Bacterial small subunit ribosomal RNA", at positions 97 to 683 of the family's 1533-position model. The record is from RNAcentral.